RNAcentral lists this ribosomal RNA (300 nucleotides) under uncultured Lactobacillus sp. RNAcentral describes it as "partial 16S ribosomal RNA". The stretch from base 53 to 300 matches the Rfam family "Bacterial small subunit ribosomal RNA", at positions 547 to 795 of the family's 1533-position model. The record is from RNAcentral. Lineage: Bacteria; Bacillati; Bacillota; Bacilli; Lactobacillales; Lactobacillaceae.
GGGUUAUGUGUGGGCAGCGGGCGGGGUAAAAGGUGGGGGGUAAGCGUUGGACGGAAUGUUUGGGCGUAAAGGGCGCGCAGGCGGGCCUUUAAGUCUGAGGGGAAAGCCCACGGCUCAACCGGGGAGGGUGAUUGGAAACUGGGGGACUUGAGUGCAGAAGAGGAAAGCGGAAUUCCAGGUGUAGCGGUGAAAUGCGUAGAGAUGUGGAGGAACACCAGUGGCGAAGGCGGCUUUCUGGUCUGUAACUGACGCUGAGGCGCGAAAGCGUGGGGAGCAAACAGGAUUAGAUACCCGGGAGUC